RNAcentral lists this ribosomal RNA (769 nucleotides) under Micrococcaceae bacterium. RNAcentral's name for it is "bacterial SSU rRNA". It matches the Rfam family "Bacterial small subunit ribosomal RNA", at positions 43 to 824 of the family's 1533-position model. Lineage: Bacteria; Bacillati; Actinomycetota; Actinomycetes; Micrococcales; Micrococcaceae. The record is from RNAcentral.
CGUGCUUAACACAUGCAAGUCGAACGAUGAUCUCCAGCUUGCUGGGGGGAUUAGUGGCGAACGGGUGAGUAACACGUGAGUAACCUGCCCUUGACUCUGGGAUAAGCCUGGGAAACUGGGUCUAAUACCGGAUAUGACCAUUCCGCGCAUGCGGUGGUGGUGGAAAGCUUUUGCGGUUUUGGAUGGACUCGCGGCCUAUCAGCUUGUUGGUGGGGUAAUGGCCUACCAAGGCGACGACGGGUAGCCGGCCUGAGAGGGUGACCGGCCACACUGGGACUGAGACACGGCCCAGACUCCUACGGGAGGCAGCAGUGGGGAAUAUUGCACAAUGGGCGCAAGCCUGAUGCAGCGACGCCGCGUGAGGGAUGACGGCCUUCGGGUUGUAAACCUCUUUCAGUAGGGAAGAAGCGAAAGUGACGGUACCUGCAGAAGAAGCGCCGGCUAACUACGUGCCAGCAGCCGCGGUAAUACGUAGGGCGCAAGCGUUAUCCGGAAUUAUUGGGCGUAAAGAGCUCGUAGGCGGUUUGUCGCGUCUGCUGUGAAAGACCGGGGCUCAACUCCGGUUCUGCAGUGGGUACGGGCAGACUAGAGUGAUGUAGGGGAGACUGGAAUUCCUGGUGUAGCGGUGAAAUGCGCAGAUAUCAGGAGGAACACCGAUGGCGAAGGCAGGUCUCUGGGCAUUAACUGACGCUGAGGAGCGAAAGCAUGGGGAGCGAACAGGAUUAGAUACCCUGGUAGUCCAUGCCGUAAACGUUGGGCACUAGGUGUG